This is a long non-coding RNA of Brienomyrus brachyistius, 225 nucleotides long. RefSeq lists it as uncharacterized. The transcript is spliced from 3 exons. NCBI's taxonomy places the organism in Eukaryota, Metazoa, Chordata, Actinopteri, Osteoglossiformes, Mormyridae. The record is from RefSeq and is a predicted model, not a curated record.
AUGUAAGACUGCUGAAAAAAGGUUGGAGAACAGUGGCCCUUGGAGAAAGAACAGAAGCACUUGAGGUUUGCCUCCAGGACAUCACACCUCCUAUUAAGCGCCUUUACAAAGCAGGAGAAAGAGUGAAAUGGAGGAAAAAAUACAUAGAUGGGUCAAGUAAGCAGCAGGAGCAAAGAGCAGAAGAGGAAAUAGGAAAGAAGAAGGGAGAGGAAAAGAGAGAGAGAG